AUGGGGCAGGAGGAGGAGGCGCAGUCGCUGGCGCUCACGCCGACGUGGGUGGUCGCCUCCGUCUGCCUCGUCAUCGUCGCCAUCUCCCUCGCCGCCGAGCGCCUGCUCCACCGCCUCGGCAAGGUGCUCAAAUUCAAUGGCCAAGAAGCACUAUUUUCAGCCUUGCAAAGAGUCAAAGAAGAGUUGAUGAUUCUGGGUUUCAUUUCCUUCCUACUAAGCGUCUGCCAAAAUCUCAUCAAUCGCAUUUGCAUCCCGGAGAGUGCUGCACGUGUCAUGCUUCCAUGCAUUGAAGAGUCCAAAGCCAGAGAAGAUGCUGCCAAACUCUGCAAGAGAAAGGGUGAAGUUCCCAUGCUAUCUGAAGAGGCUCUGCAUCAGCUGCACAUCUUUAUCUUUGUACUUGGUGUGGUGCAUGUUCUGUUCUGUGUUACAACGCUGUUACUUGGUGGAGCUAAGAUGAGAACGUGGAAUAAAUGGGAGAAAGAAAUUCAACAAGGAAGAAUCAAGGAGCGUGAAAAGACGCCAGGCUGGAUGAAACCAUCUGCUGUAAGAUGGAUUAUUGCAUUCUUCAAGCAGUUUUAUAAUUCUGUCGGUAAACCAGAUUAUCAAGUACUCAGAUCAGCUUUUGUUCUGCGCCACUACCCAAAUCGCCUAGACUUUGAUUUCCACAAGUACAUGGUUCGUGCCCUCGAGCAUGACUUCAAAGAAGUGGUUGGAAUCAGCUGGUACCUAUGGCUUUUCGUUAUCGUCUUCCUGCUGCUGAAUAUAAAUGGGUGGCACACUUAUUUCUGGCUGUCUUUCUUGCCCUUGAUUCUUCUGCUUAUUGUUGGCACUAAGCUGGAGCACAUCAGCACUCGAUUGGCUCAAGAAGCAGCGGAGUGUUCCGAUGAAGCAUCAGGAAACCCCUGGACGAAGCCAUGCAAGGAGCACUUUUGGUUUAGCCAUCCUAGGGCUGUCCUCCAUCUGAUCCAUUUCAUCUUGUUCCAGAACUCGUUUGAGAUGGCAUUUUUCUUCUGGGUCUUGGCAACAUAUGGGUUCGAUUCAUGCAUCAUGGAGAACAGAUCAUAUGCCCUCCCCAGACUUGCUAUUGGCAUCAUCGUUCAGGUGCUCUGCAGCUACAGCACCCUGCCGCUGUACGCCAUUGUCACCCACAUGGGCGGCGACAUCAAGCUGCAGGCGUUCGGCGAGCACGUACACGUGUCCGUGCACAGCUGGGCGACGGACGUGAAGAAGAAGGCGACGUCGCUGCCGGCCCAUCCGCACCCGCACCAGCACCAGCACCCGCACUCGCACCUCCGGAUCCCGUUUCUCAGCAAGAAGAGGCACAGCGGUCGCGGCCCCGCAACUGAGGAGGCCGCAGCGGAGGCGAGGGCGACGGAGCAGCGCGCCGGGAGCUCCAGCACGCCCAACGCACCGCCGCAGCAGCGGGCCGACGACCUAGAGGAGAUCGUGACGACCACGGAGGACGACCAUCGUCGUCGCAACGCCAGUUUCUCGUAG
RNAcentral lists this ribosomal RNA (1497 nucleotides) under Triticum aestivum (bread wheat). RNAcentral's name for it is "partial small subunit ribosomal RNA". The record is from RNAcentral. Lineage: Eukaryota; Viridiplantae; Streptophyta; Magnoliopsida; Poales; Poaceae.